RNAcentral lists this ribosomal RNA (514 nucleotides) under Salmonella enterica subsp. enterica serovar Enteritidis. RNAcentral describes it as "partial 23S ribosomal RNA". The stretch from base 1 to 406 matches the Rfam family "Bacterial large subunit ribosomal RNA", at positions 119 to 565 of the family's 2925-position model. The record is from RNAcentral. Lineage: Bacteria; Pseudomonadati; Pseudomonadota; Gammaproteobacteria; Enterobacterales; Enterobacteriaceae.
UGGGGAAACCCAGUGUGAUUCGUCACACUAUCAUUAACUGAAUCCAUAGGUUAAUGAGGCGAACCGGGGGAACUGAAACAUCUAAGUACCCCGAGGAAAAGAAAUCAACCGAGAUUCCCCCAGUAGCGGCGAGCGAACGGGGAGGAGCCCAGAGCCUGAAUCAGCAUGUGUGUUAGUGGAAGCGUCUGGAAAGGCGCGCGAUACAGGGUGACAGCCCCGUACACAAAAGCGCAUGUGCUGUGAGCUCGAUGAGUAGGGCGGGACACGUGGUAUCCUGUCUGAAUAUGGGGGGACCAUCCUCCAAGGCUAAAUACUCCUGACUGACCGAUAGUGAACCAGUACCGUGAGGGAAAGGCGAAAAGAACCCCGGCGAGGGGAGUGAAAAAGAACCUGAAACCGUGUACGUACAAGCAGUGGGAGCCCCACCACCAAAGCAUUUGCUGUACCGCGUUGACGGAGCGAAGCGACGUCAAACCGAUAAAACAGCAGUGUAAAGUGAGCCGCAGGGCGCUUU